This 467-nucleotide ribosomal RNA is filed under the name uncultured bacterium. RNAcentral describes it as "partial 16S ribosomal RNA". It matches the Rfam family "Bacterial small subunit ribosomal RNA", at positions 28 to 506 of the family's 1533-position model. The record is from RNAcentral.
GACGAACGCUGGCGGCGUGCUUAACACAUGCAAGUCGAACGGAAAGGCCCUGCUUUUGUGGGGUGCUCGAGUGGCGAACGGGUGAGUAACACGUGAGUAACCUGCCCUUGACUUUGGGAUAACUUCAGGAAACUGGGGCUAAUACCGGAUAGGAGCUCCUGCUGCAUGGUGGGGGUUGGAAAGUUUCGGCGGUUGGGGAUGGACUCGCGGCUUAUCGGCUUGUUGGUGGGGUAGUGGCUUACCAAGGCUUUGACGGGUAGCCGGCCUGAGAGGGUGACCGGCCACAUUGGGCCUGGGAUGCGGCCCAGACUCCUACGGGAGGCAGCAGUGGGGAAUAUUGCACAAUGGGCGGAAGCCGGAUGCAGCAACGCCGCGUGCGGGAUGACGGCCUUCGGGUUGUAAACCGCUUUCGCCUGUGACGAAGCGUGAGUGACGGUAAUGGGUAAAGAAGCACCGGCUAACUACGU